GCCGCUAUCGUCUAACGGUUAGGACACUAGGCUUUCAAUCUGGUAAUCGGGGUUCGAUUCCCCGUAGCGGCACCA
This 75-nucleotide transfer RNA is filed under the name Candidatus Staskawiczbacteria bacterium. RNAcentral's name for it is "tRNA-Glu". It matches the Rfam family "tRNA". Rfam says of the family: Transfer RNA (tRNA) molecules are approximately 80 nucleotides in length. Their secondary structure includes four short double-helical elements and three loops (D, anti-codon, and T loops). Lineage: Bacteria; Candidatus Staskawicziibacteriota. The record is from RNAcentral.